UACGUAGGGAGCAAGCGUUGUCCGGAAUCAUUGGGCGUAAAGCGCGCGUAGGUGGCCAUGUAAGUCCGCUGUGAAAGUCAAAGGCUCAACCUUUGAAAGCCGGUGGAUACUGCAUGGCUAGAGUACGGAAGAGGCGAGUGGAAUUCCUGGUGUAGCGGUGGAAUGCGCAGAUAUCAGGAGGAACACCAAUAGCGAAGGCAGCUCGCUGGGACGUUACUGACGCUGAGACGCGAAAGCGUGGGGAGCAAACAGG
This 253-nucleotide ribosomal RNA is filed under the name Solirubrobacter sp. RNAcentral describes it as "partial 16S ribosomal RNA". It matches the Rfam family "Bacterial small subunit ribosomal RNA", at positions 524 to 776 of the family's 1533-position model. Lineage: Bacteria; Bacillati; Actinomycetota; Thermoleophilia; Solirubrobacterales; Solirubrobacteraceae. The record is from RNAcentral. RNAcentral also lists the same sequence under 1 other name.